UUCGUGUGCCCUAUUUUUACCCUGCCACUCUGUUUUUCAAUUUUACUGUGUUAGUAUGUAUUCCAUUUUAUGUUUUCUUUUUAAUAUGUUUGAAAUUAUAUGUGUUAAUUUGACCCUUAGAGGCUAGAAAUUAUGUGCUACUUUGUUGUAUAUUAUGUUUGAAAUAUUAGUGGCAAUGAUCUUUGAAGUUAUGACUUAAAAAUAUUUAUUUUGUUUUUGCAUUUUUUUAUUUAUUUUUUCCUUUACAUGUGUAUAAUAUUAAAUACUAAUUGCUUCUAAAUGUUCUCUUAGACUCUUUGAUAUAGCGGCGAUACCACUACCUGCUACACCACUAUAGUGUUUUGAGGGUCAUCCGAUACACUACGCUAUCUACUACUGACUACAUAGAUCUACUACUGACUACAAUAUACCUUGUUGUUGAGGUAUUUAGCAUAGCUAAGAAGGGCAAGUGUUGGAAACACUUGUAAGAUAAAUAUUGAUUGUCCAUGUCCAACACUUCAACCAUGAUUUAGUAGUUUAUUUUUGCUUUGAUCGUUAUAAGAAGGGAUUUUUGAGAGGUUGUAGACUGUUUAUUGGAGUGGAUGCUAGGGAGGGGCACUUCUAAUUGUUGUUGGUAGAAAUCCAAAUGAUCAAUAGUUUCUCUUAGCUUUCGGGGUGGUUGAAACUGAGACUAAGGAGUCUUGGAGAUGGUUUCUCAAUUUAUUACUAGAGUACAUUGGUCAAGAGAAGAGAUGGAUGUUCAUCUCUGACCAAUAAGUUAUGUAUUUAUGUUGUUAGUUAACUUGUCCUAUUUUAAUGUCUGAUUGAAGACCACAUGUUGGCUCUCAUUUAUAAGAAAAGACCAAGAAGGCUAAAAAAACAAAAUUAAAGAGAAGAGAACCAGACGAGGAUCUUAACCAAGUUCUGGAUGUUAAAGCUUCUGUGUUUAUUGAUGCUUCUACUUCUGUUGCGGCAUUUGUGAGCCGAAUAGCAAGCAUGGAAUCAUAUAAUAUUAAUAGUCAAUCAUUUUGUUUUGGUUUAGACAUGUCUUACUUUUUAUUUGAACUUUGAGAUUUGUUGAAUGUUAGUGUUAGAGAUUUGUGACAGGUUAAAUAUAAGUUGCAUUUCCUUUGAAUUUGACAAACAGAUUUUAUUUUGCAGAAAUUGAAAAAAACAAAACCAAAAAUUGUAAGGAAAGUAGUUGUUAAAAAUGUGAGGAGAAGCAAUAGAUUAAAGACUACUUUAAAAGGUGUUUGCAAGUCCAUUUCAAAUAGAUGACGAUGAUCAUGAAGCGAGUCCAUUAAUAGUUGAUGAUACAGGAAGUUCACAAUCAAUUUUUGAUGAUCUUGUUAUUUUGAAUUUAUAUUUUGGAUGAACAAGGAUUUUUAUUUUGGUUGACUGUUUAUGUAUUUUGGAUAAGUAAUAAGGUGUGGUUAUAUGUAUUUUGGUACUGAAGGAUUUUUUUUUGUAUUUUGGUGAUGUAAGACAAUAAGAUUCUAAUUCAUAUUGAAC
This 1491-nucleotide long non-coding RNA is filed under the name Cicer arietinum (chickpea). Its description in RNAcentral is "long non-coding RNA (CARI_LNC000526)". Lineage: Eukaryota; Viridiplantae; Streptophyta; Magnoliopsida; Fabales; Fabaceae. The record is from RNAcentral.